AGCUAAGAAUCUUCCGCAAUGGGGGGAACCCUGACGGAGCGACGCCGCGUGAGCGAAGAAGGCGGAAACGUUGUAAAGCUCUUUUCUUGAGGAGGAAUAAGCCUGGCAGGUAAUGGUCAGGUGAUGACGUUAAUCAAGGAAUAAGCCCCGGCUAAUUACGUGCCAGCAGCCGCGGUAACACGUGAGGGGCGAGCGUUGUUCGGAAUUAUUGGGCGUAAAGGGCGCGUAGGCGGUUUUAAAAGCUUGGUGUGAAAGACCUCAGCUCAACUGAGGGGACGCGCUGGGAACUGUAAGACUAGAAUCUAGGAGGGGAAGCUGGAAUUCCUGGUGUAGGGGUGAAAUCUGUAGAUAUCAGGAAGAACACCGGUGGCGAAGGCGAGCUUCUGGCCAUAGAUUGACGCUGAGGCGCGAAAGCGUGGGGAGCGAACAGGAUUAGAUACCCUGGUAGUCCACGCCGUAAACGAUGUGCACUAGGUGUUGGGGAUAGGAUCCUCAGUACCGAAGCAAACGCGAUAAGUGCACCGCCUGGGGAGUAUGCCGGCAACGGUGAAACUCAAAGGAAUUGACGGGGGCCCGCACAAGCGGUGGAGCAUGUGGUUUAAUUCGAUGAUACGCGAGAAACCUUACCAGGGCUUGACAUAAUAUUGACGACAUUGGAGACAGUGUUUUCCCUUCGGGGACAGUAUUACAGGUGCUGCAUGGUUGUCGUCAGCUCGUGCUGUGAAGUGUUGGGUUAAGUCCCGCAACGAGCGCAACCCCUGCUGUCUGUUGCCAACAGGUUAAGCUGGGAACUCAGACGGUACUGCCGGUGACAAACCGGAGGAAGGUGGGGAUGACGUCAAAUCAUCAUGGCCCUUAUGUCCUGGGCUACACACGUGCUACAAUGGCCGGUACAGAGUGACGCGAAACCGUGAGGUGGAGCAAAUCGCAGAAAGCCGGUCUCAGUACAGAUUGAAGUCUGAAACUCGACUUCAUGAAGGUGGAAUCGCUAGUAAUCGCGCAUCAGCAUGGCGCGGUGAAUACGU
RNAcentral lists this ribosomal RNA (1025 nucleotides) under uncultured bacterium. Its description in RNAcentral is "bacterial SSU rRNA". It matches the Rfam family "Bacterial small subunit ribosomal RNA", at positions 353 to 1371 of the family's 1533-position model. The record is from RNAcentral.